CAGGCGAAAAGGGUGAUGUGAUAUGUGACGUACCUCGGGGGAAGAGCCAAUAUUCCCCUUAUAUAUUGUCAGGGGUGGGCCCUGUAAAGGCAGGCCCACUACUCUCGAGGUGUUCCCUUCACAGCUGUGGGUGAGCUGUUACGGACGCGUGUCCGGGUCGGCGAUGGGGCGUCCUAUCCCUAACCGUUCGGGUCGGGUGGAGCUCGGAUCGGCCCAAGCCAGCAGAGGGUUUGGGCCGGGCCGUAACAAAUACUAACUAAAAUUUUAACCACAUUAAUUUGUGCAAAUCAACCUUGAAAGUGUCGACUAGUUUUCAAGCGAGAUCUAUACCAUGCGUCUGAUAUUAACAGAUUACAAUCACAUUUGACAAUACAUAGUAUUUUCAUGAGCCAAUCAAACACAAACAUUGUUUACCAGCUAAAGGUCCAACCACAAGUCCACAACUGCUCUCAAUUCUCAUGCACUUAAUCUUUCACUUAAGACGUGACAAUCCCCAACAUUCUUUUCAAAAACCUGAUCUCUCCAACUAGUAGAUAACAUCUUAUUUGAUGCCCACCAAAACAAAGAAACUAGAAGCAAUGUCCAUCACACUGCCUCGUGGCUGCCAGAAAGAUCAAUUCCAGGGCCAGCCAGAGUAUAUAAGUCUAACAUAACAUGCCAGCCAGGCCAAAGCAUUAAAUAACAUUUCUCAAAGCAAACAUAAAAUAGGAUUUUCCAUGAACAGCCGAUUGCUUCAGAGUUCAGAGGGAACAGGACAUAAAAACAAGUGUAUCAUCGAUUUUGUGAAGGCAUUCUUUCUGAUCCGUGCCUCAACUGAAAGCUGCUGGACCUGAAACUUGGCUCUGAUCCGCUGGCAGCCUGGUGGUAUGCUCUCCAACUUGAUUCUCUAUCCACAUGAUUGAAUGAUAAUGAAGGCAAGUGAUCUCUUUCCCAACCUUGGAAGCGACUUGGCAGAUGGGCUUCUUCCGGAAAAUUGCGUCCCGAUGAACCUGAUGGAAUCAAUAAGAAGCCACCGCUUUGGUCUGGUGAUGAGGCCACUUGUGCUAAUUGAGCUGACCCAUUAUGGCUGCUGGACCUUCUAGUGUCAGAGGCAUUAGGAGUCCGCAUUGAGGUAGAAUUAGGAGGUUGUGGAGGUUGAUAGUAUGCCUGAAGAGCCUGGACUCUGUCUCGGGCCCGGGCAUUGCUACCUGGAUAUGGAGGUAUCAUUGAAGAUGCAACUGAUGCCCCAGCUCUAGCACCAGAACUGUGACCAACAAUGAAGGGGCGGUACCUGCAAAGACACUCCGACGCUCAAGUCAGAAUGGAUCAAAGAGGUAGAAAGUGUGAGGAAUGAAUGAAUACCUGGAGGGACCUGGGUCCUCUAUUUAUAGGUGAUGGUGAAUAUCUUAUCUUAUCUUAUUUGGCUAAGAUAAGGGAGACGUUUGAAUUAUCUUAUCUUAUCUUAUCUUAUUUGGCUAAGAUAAGGGAGACGUUUGAAUUAUCUUAUCUUAUCUUAUCUUAUUUGGCUAAGAUAAGGGAGACGUUUGAAUUCGAAAGUUGGUUAGGAGCUCUAGUGGGCUGGUUCCGAGCUUUCUGGAAGGGCGAAGCGGGUCGGACCCUGGUAACCGGGUUCGGGGACCGUUCUGGGUGUAGGAUCCGUGGGCCGGAUCCGUAACAGUUGCCCCCGGAGCGAGAGAGUGAGGGUGCUCGGUCUCAUCGCUGGAGAAACCUUUUCCUCGCCAUUGUGGUUUGGCAAGGAGAUUGUUGUUUGGUUUUUCCGAUCGGGGUCGAGGAUUUGGGGAGUUCCUAGCCGUUUCAUGGUCAGGCGAGGAGCGCGUUGUUUGGGCGUCUCAUCACAUGCCGGGUUUGAUGACCGUUCCGAAGAAGGGCCCGGAGAUUGGGUCUGGAACAGUUGCCCCCGGAGCAUGAGAGUAUGCUUUCUUGGUCUCAAUGCUAAGUCAUUGGAGAGUCCGAUUCUCUGUAGUUCGGGAAACUGUGAGGGGCCUGAAAAGGGCGUGACGUCAUCAUGCACCAAUUGGUAGGAUGUUGGUCAGUAUGGCUUUCCGCGAGUUGGAAGACCGUCAGCUCAUGCUUGUUUUGUGUGGCCUUUUUUGGGCCGUUAUUGUGAACUUAUUUUAGGCCUCUUGGUGGGCCGAUUUUAAGACUUUGUUUAUUUAGCUUAUUUGGAUUCCCGUUUUGUUGGCUUUGCGGGUGAUCGAUUCACGAGUCACUAUUUUUGUUAUUUGGAUAUCCGUUUUAUUGGCCUCGGGUGUUCGAUUCCCGGGUAGCCGUUUACUUAUUUGGAUAUCCGUUUUAUUGGUUUCGGGGUGAUCGAUUCUCGGGUAGCCGUUUACUUAUUUAGAUACCCGUUUUAUUAUUUGGAUAUCCAUUUUGUUGGCCUCGGGGUGAUCGAUUCCCGGGUAGCCGUUUACUUAUUUGGAUAUCCGUUUUAUUGGCUUCGGGGUGAUCGAUUUCCGGGUAGCCGUUUGCUUAUUUGGAUAUCCGUUUUAUUAUUUGGAUAUCCAUUUUGUUGGCCUCGGGGUGAUCGAUUCCCGGGUAGCCGUUUACUUAUUUGGAUAUCCGUUUUAUUGGCUUCGGGGUGAUCGAUUCCCGGGUAGUCGUUUGCUUAUUUGGAUAUCCGUUUUGUUGGCCUCAGGGUGAUCGAUUUCCGGGUAGCCGUUUACUUAUUUGGAUAUCCGUUUUAUUAUUUGGAUAUCUAUUUUGUUAGCCUCGGAGUGAUCGCUUCCCGGGCCGCUAUUUUUUGUUAUUUGGAUACCCGUUUUGUUAUUUGGAUAUCCGUUUUAUUAUUUGGAUAUCCGUUUUAUUGGGAGUGGGUAGACCGAUGUUGUUUUGUCAUAAGACGAGGUCUCCUGGUCCGAAGUCUCGUCGUACCGUGCUGCCAUUGUACCUUAGGCUUAUUCUCUAUUUUAGGGCUAGCUCACGUAGGUGUGCUAUACUCCUGACCUUGUCUGCAAGGCCCUACUUUGCUUCUUUUUCGUUUCCUCCCAUGGUUCUGCGUGAAUUUUGGUGUGCAUCGAGAUCGGAAAGGAAGAUGCCUACCGUGUCUCGGGAUCUCUUGCGUAGGACUAGUGCUGAUGUUGUCGUAUUCUACCACGGUUUUCUGGUCUCUGUGGAUGGUUCCGACGGAGCCAUCUUCUGCCGUGAACUUCAUUAGAAGGUAUUUGGUAAAGAUGACGGCGGAGAGGUCGUUGAUUGUUUUCCUUCCGAGGAUGACGUUAUAAGCGGUGGAGUUCUUGAGGACCACGAACUCGGAAAGGAUUGUCUUCCUCUGGCUUCCCGUCCCUAUGGUAAGGGGAAGAAUGAUGGAACCGUCUGGCUUGAGGAAGUUGUCUCCGAGUCCCAUGACACCGUUGCGGUGUGUUUGGAGAUUUUCGUUGCGGAGCCCGAGCUUGUUGAAGGCACCUCGGAAGAGGAUGUUGGAGUCUGCGCCGGUGUCCACUAGUAUUCUCCGAACUAGUCCUGUUCCGAUUCUCGCCGAGAUGACAAAAGGUGCGUCUUCGGCCGAGGUGCUGUGCUGGCAAUCCUCGGGCAAAAAAGUUAUCGUUUUGUCGGCUGUGGUAGCUGGGGCUUGAUCUCUGACGGCCAAGAAUUUGAGGUCCUUUUUUAGUGUUGAUCUUGACUUGCCUGACACAUCCUUGCCCGUGAUGACAUUUACUACUAUGGCUGGGUCGUCUUCUGGACUUUCCCUGGGAGGUUGUUUUUGUGUUCUCAGGUUGCGUCCUUCCCUCUCAGGCGACUUGUCUUUUUCCGCGCAUUUUGGUUCCCUGAUGAUUUUGGCGAAAUCUGGGGGUUUGCCGUCUCUUAUAGCUUGUUUGAGGGUGUCUUUAAGGUCGAAACAGUCUUGUGUCCUGUGCCCGUAACCUCGGUGGUAGUUGCAGUAAAGGGUCUUGUUGCUGCCCGUUCUUUCUUUGAGUUGUCGGGCUUUUGGGAUAAUACCCCGAUCCGCUAUCUGGUGGUAUAUCUCGGUAAUCGAGGCUGUCAGGGGGGUGUAGUUCGAGAAUUUCCCAAUCCUGGGUGGUCGGUUUGUGUUGGUUUGUUUGGGUUGGUCUCUUUGACUUUCUCUGGGCAUCGGAUUAUGGCGGGAAGUCGGGUUGCCGUGUGGAGUGUUGCCGUGUUGUCGUUUAUUGGCGGCGACGACCUGGCUGAUCUCCUCGUCGUUUAUGUAGUCUCUGGCGAUGUUUUGGAUCUCGUGCAUGGUCCAUACUGGCUUGGUGGUGAGGUGUUUGCGGAAGUCUUCGUUCAUGAGCCCGUUGGUUAAACAGAGGCUUGCGACGAAAUCCGUGAGUCCAUCAAUCGUUAGACAUUCAUCGUUGAAGCGGUCCAGGUAUUUUCGUGUGGAUUCGUCUUGUUUCUAUGUGACCCCUAAUAAGCUGAUGGGGUGUUUAGCUUUGGUAAUUCUGGUGGUGAAUUGGGCCAUAAACUUCCGUGAGAUAUCAUGGAAGCCAGUUAUGGAUCCAUUGGGGAGGGCAUUGAACCAUUUAAUCGUUGGCCCAGCUAGGGUUACUGGGAAGGCCUUACCUCGGACCGCGUCAGCGGCCCCUUCUAGGUUCAUCCUGGCCUUGAAGGCCGUUAGGUGCUCCUGGAAGUCUUUGGUUCCGUCGUACUUCAUAUCCGUAGGUUUGUCGAAGCCUUUAGGGAGUUUUGCUUUCAGGAUUCUUUCAGUGAAGGGAAUGGCUCCCAUUAUCACGUGGUCACUUCUUGUGCAUUUGGCCUCUUGAUGUCGUCGGUCGUUGUCCGUUUCAUGUUGAUGAGCCGGGUUGCGUGGGACGCUGCGAUCAUACCUUUUGCUGUGUCGUCGUUCAGGCAUCCUGUCAUGUCCGUGGUCACGGCAGAUGCUGCGAUUGUAUCUCUUGGCAUGUCGCCGUUCUGGCGAUCCGCCGUGCCUGGUUUCAUGGCGAGAUCCUGAUCUAGAGGUUGCGUGAGUUCCGUUUUUUUUUCGGCAUUGUGCUUUUCUUUGGGUGUAACUCGGCCUUUGAGGUCUUGCACCCUGAGGCACAGCUCUUGGAUUAUCUGGACCGCCUUCUCUCCUAGGCCGUCGGGUGGCCGAGCUUCAGUGGGAGGACGGUUGUCCUAUCUUGAUUGUUGCUGGGUUGGGGUUGGUUGGCGAUGUGCCGCGCUUAUUAUCCUCCCUGGGUGGGAGGAGUGUUAUCUUGGAGUUCGGGAGUUGGGGUGUUGGGUGGAGGAUUGCUCCUCGAGGUUCUCCGUCAUGCCGCCACGAUUUGGCUGUCCCCCGCAUCUAUGCAAGAACCUUGAGAACUUUCUUGAUCUAUUAGCUCCUGAGAGGUCUGAGCUUGGCCAGGGUGGUAGCAUUUAAGGAGGUCGUUCAUGAUGAGCUUCCUUAUGAAUUUUCAGUAAGGUCCGAAGGGGGAUCAUGGCGACAGAUUUGUCAUAGGUGAGGCGGCGGAUGGCAGAGGUUUGGAACCUGGUGUUUGAAGGAGGUGACCUCGUGGGUUUGGAAGAAGAGCUUGAAGAGUUCAAAAGAAGAAGCAACAACGAUGGGCAUGGAGCCAAAAUAGAGGGAGAAGAUGGGGCCAUGGCGCUUGGAAGGACGAAUGAGGGGAGUGGUGAAUGAGAGGGCCCAAGAGGUGGAGGUGUCCCACUAAAGGGAGGUGAGACUUUGGGCUCGGAGGAUUUAGAAUUUCACCGUUGGAAUAGGGCGAGGGUGCAUAAAGAGUGUUAUCACUAAGAAGGUGAUUGCAAGUCGAAGAAACAUUGUUCCUUUGGGAUUUCGCCGUUGGAGUAGGACGAAGGUAUGUUAUCACUGCAAAUGUGAUGCAAGUUAAGGAAACAUUAUUCCUUUGGGAUUUCGCCAUUGGAGUUUCGCCAUUGGAGUUUCGCCGUUGGAAUAGGGCGAAGGUGUGUUAUCACUGCAAAGGUGAUGCAAGUUAAGGAAACAUUAUUCCUUUGGGAUUUUGCCAUUGGAGUUUCGCCGUUGGAAUAGGGCGAAGGUGUGUUAUCACUGCAAAGGUGAUGCAAGUUAAGGAAACAUUAUUCCUUUGGGAUUUUGCCGUUGGAGUAGGGCAAAUGUGUGUUAUCCUUGCAAAGAUGAUGCAAGUUAAGAAAAUAUUAUUCCUUUGGGAUUUCGCCGUUGGAGUAGGGCGAAGGUGUGUUAUCCCUGCAAAGAUGAUGCAAGUUAAGGAAACAUUAUUCCUUUUUGCUCUCAGCUACACCCAAGAAAUCUGAGUUUGAUGAUUGCUCUUCUGGGUUAUCCGCCAUGCUGCCACAAUGUUGCAAAGUCCCCACAGACGGCGCCAAUGUACAAGAUGUCUCUGGUACGGGUUGAGAGAUGAAUCGAGAACUUGUGGGUUGAGGCAGAUGCCGGAUCACUUGCCUGGAGCAAUGGGGGGCGGUACCUGCAAAGACACUCCGACGCUCAAGUCAGAAUGGAUCAAAGAGGUAGAAAGUGUGAGGAAUGAAUGAAUAUCUGGAGGGACCUGUGUCCUCUAUUUAUAGGUGAUGGUGAAUAUCU
This 6469-nucleotide long non-coding RNA is filed under the name Arachis ipaensis. RNAcentral's name for it is "long non-coding RNA (AIPA_LNC002161)". The record is from RNAcentral. Lineage: Eukaryota; Viridiplantae; Streptophyta; Magnoliopsida; Fabales; Fabaceae.